RNAcentral lists this ribosomal RNA (497 nucleotides) under uncultured bacterium. RNAcentral describes it as "partial 16S ribosomal RNA". It matches the Rfam family "Bacterial small subunit ribosomal RNA", at positions 28 to 507 of the family's 1533-position model. The record is from RNAcentral.
GAUGAACGCUGGCGGCGUGCCUAAUACAUGCAAGUCGAGCGAACAGACGAGGAGCUUUCUCCUCUGACGUUAGCGGCGGACGGGUGAGUAACACGUGGAUAACCUACCUAUAAGACUGGGAUAACUUCGGGAAACCGGAGCUAAUACCGGAUAAUAUAUUGAACCGCAUGGUUCAAUAGUUAAAGACGGUUUUGCUGUCACUUAUAGAUGGAUCCGCGCCGCAUUAGCUAGUUGGUAAGGUAACGGCUUUCCAAGGCAACGAUUCGUAGCCGACCUUAGAGGGUGAACCGGCCAGCUGGAACUGGAGCAAGGUCCAGGAAACCUCGGAAGGCAGCAGGUGGGAAUCUUCCGCCAUGGGAGGAAGCCUGAAGGAGCAACGCCGGGGGGGUGAUUAAAGUCUUCGGAUCGUAAAACUCUGUUAUUAGGGAAGAACAAAUGUGUAAGUAACUAUGCACGUCUUGACGGUACCUAAUCAGAAAGCCACGGCUAGCUACGUG